CCAACGGUUGUACCUGUGCAGCCAAGAUGGAUCCCUCCUCCAGAAGGAACUGCAAAACUUCGAGUCGAUGGGGCUAUUUCCAGAGAUGGUAAUGUUGGUUCUUUCAGUGUCGUUUGCAGAAAUUCCUCAGGAACAUAUUUGGGUGCUUCAGUUAUCAAGAUCCAUGGAGUCACGGAUCCGGCGACGCUUGAAGCGCUGGCGUGUCGCGAGGAUCUUGCUCUCUCAACUGACCUGGGCCUUGCUCAAAUCCUCGUCGCAAGCGAUAGCCAAGGAGUAGUGAACGACAUCAUGAACUGCACCGGGGGAGCCUACGCUAGCACCAUCAGGGAGAUUGUGGAGACAUCAACUAGUUUUGAUAGUUGCACCUUCAUUUUUGAAGGUAGGGCCACUAAUAUUGAGGCACAUAGCCUCGUUAAGCAUGUUUUCAGUUUGGAUUAUGGGCGCCAUGUGUGGUUGUUAAACCCUCCAAACAUCUCUGGUAUCCCCAUGAACUUGAUUGAGCAAUAA
Molecule: ribosomal RNA, 507 nt
Filed under: Triticum aestivum (bread wheat)
Lineage: Eukaryota; Viridiplantae; Streptophyta; Magnoliopsida; Poales; Poaceae
Description: partial small subunit ribosomal RNA
Source: RNAcentral